This 447-nucleotide long non-coding RNA is filed under the name Carica papaya (papaya). RNAcentral describes it as "long non-coding RNA (CPAP_LNC004315)". Lineage: Eukaryota; Viridiplantae; Streptophyta; Magnoliopsida; Brassicales; Caricaceae. The record is from RNAcentral.
AUGUGUUAACAGGACAUUAUUUUUGCAGACAGCAGUGUAGCCAUUGAAACCAAACUAAAAAUCAAGCAAUUUGUCGAAGAAAGCACAUUAGGGGAGCUGGGAGCACGCCUACCAAUGAGUAGCCCUCUACAUCAUAUGUCUAGAUUUGAACGUAGCUUUCGAGUUGAAAUCUAUCCUAAUUCACUUCCUGCCGAAGUUCAAAAGUUUAGAGAAUAAAAACCCAUACAAGCACCUAAAAGAACUUCAUGUCAUGUUGUGACAUCCCAAAUGCUAAUUAAGGCAUAAGGAUGCCAGAUAUGAAAACAUAUUACAAGAGCAUAAUAGAUAAUUGUAUGCAGCGGAGUAAAUUAUUACAAAUCCCUUACCAAAAUAUAUGAGGUCAGAAGUGGCAAAAUUCAAAAUAUCAAAAUACAAAAAGGGCCACUUCUUUAAUCAUGUGAAUGGACU